AGAGUUAAACAGUACGUGAAAUUGUUGAAAGGGAAACGAUUGGAGUCAGUCAUGCUAGUAGGGAAUCAACUUGGUGGUGUGAGUUUAUUUUUUUCUCGUUCUUCCUCGUGUACUUUCUUGCUUGGUAGGUUAGCAUCAAUUUUAGUUGUCAUUAAAUAAUUGGGGAAAUGUGGCUUCUCUUCGGAGAAGUGUUUAUAGACCCUGAUAGCUGUGGCGACUGGGAUUGAGGAUUGCAGCGGAUACCUUUAGGUUAGUCACCUGUCUUCUGAAGGUCACCCAGCUUGCUGAUGAUUGUAGGAUUUGGCAGUCUAGAAGGUAGAAUUAUCAUAAAUUCGCUAAGGAUGCUGACGUAAUGGCUUUAAACGA
RNAcentral lists this unclassified non-coding RNA (366 nucleotides) under uncultured Glomeromycotina. Its description in RNAcentral is "sequence contains 28S rRNA gene". The record is from RNAcentral. Lineage: Eukaryota; Fungi; Glomeromycota.